AGCGAACGCUGGCGGCAGGCUUAACACAUGCAAGUCGAACGCCCCGCAAGGGGAGUGGCAGACGGGUGAGUAACACGUGGGAACGUACCCUUUGGUUCGGAAUAACUUGGGGAAACUCAAGCUAAUACCGGAUAAGCCCUUAUGGGGAAAGGUUUACUGCCGAAGGAUCGGCCCGCGUCUGAUUAGCUAGUUGGUGAGGUAAUGGCCCACCAAGGCGACGAUCAGUAGCUGGUCUGAGAGGAUGGCCAGCCACACUGGGACUGAGACACGGCCCAGACUCCUACGGGAGGCAGCAGUGGGGAAUAUUGGACAAUGGGCGCAAGCCUGAUCCAGCCAUGCCGCGUGAGUGAUGAAGGCCUUAGGGUUGUAAAGCUCUUUUACCCGGGACGAUAAUGACUGUACCGGGAGAAUAAGCCCCGGCUAACUUCGUGCCAGCCGCCGCCGUAA
Molecule: ribosomal RNA, 447 nt
Filed under: uncultured bacterium
Lineage: Bacteria
Description: partial 16S ribosomal RNA
Rfam family: Bacterial small subunit ribosomal RNA
Source: RNAcentral